Regulatory RNA element from Lasius niger, 45 nucleotides. It matches the Rfam family "Histone 3' UTR stem-loop". From Rfam's summary of the family: The mRNAs of metazoan histone genes lack a poly-A tail. 3' end processing occurs at a site between a highly conserved stem-loop (modelled by this family) and a purine rich region around 20 nts downstream (the histone downstream element, or HDE). Lineage: Eukaryota; Metazoa; Arthropoda; Insecta; Hymenoptera; Formicidae. The record is from Rfam.
AUACCGGCCCUUUUCAGGGCCACCAAUUAAUUAUUCGAAGGAUUG